AAGAAAUUAAAGUAAGACUUCUAAUCUUACUUUGGGGGGUUAAAUUCCUUCCUUUCUUC
This 59-nucleotide transfer RNA is filed under the name Phoronis psammophila. Its description in RNAcentral is "tRNA-Ser". The record is from RNAcentral. Lineage: Eukaryota; Metazoa; Phoronida; Phoronidae.